GCUUUGUUUACCUAAGCGAGCCUGGGCAAUGGCGGGCGCCCCUCCCCCAGCCUCGCUGCCAACUUGCUGUUUGAUCUCAGACUGCUGUGCUGGCAAUCAGCGAGACUCCGUGGGUGUAGGACCCCCUGAGCCAGGUGCGGGCUAUAAUCUCCUGGGGCAAUUUUUCCUAAGCCCGUCAGAAAAGCACAGUAUUCGGGUGGGAGUGGCCCGAUUUUCCAGGUGCAGUCUGUCACCCCCGGAAAGGGAACUCCCUGACCCCUUGGGCUUCCCGAGUGAGGCAAUGCCUCGCCCCUGCUUAGGCUGGUGCACGGUGCACUCACCCACUGACCUGCGCCCACUGUCUGGCACUCCCUAGUGAGAUGAACACAGUACCUCAGAUGGAAAUGCAGAAAUCACCCGUCUUCUGCGUCGCUCACGCUGGGAGCUGUAGACCGGAGCUCUUCCUAUUCGGCCAUCUUGGCUCUUCCUCAAACGGUGUAUUUUAAAAUUUCCAAUUUAUUAGUCUUGGAAGGCAUAGCCAUAAUGAACAUGAGAGGAAAUCUCUAGCAGUCAAAUGAGGACUUUCAGAAGAAAUGGAAUUUGUCUUGUUUAUGUCUAUGCUGCCAACACCCAUGCGCAUGGCUGACAUAUCAUGGGAUUUUCCAAAAGGAGCAGAAAGUCAGUAGGAGAAAAGUUGGAGCUGCGCAUCCUCAGUGAGUUGCUCCUUCUGUUAUACACAGAAAAUUAAAAGUUGAAUGAAACCCCCAGCUAAGAAAUACCAAGUUCGACUAAAUUAAUAAAAUGUGUGCUGUGGGCUGAAGAUGUAUAUUCUGGCAUUCCUGCUUUCCUCGAAUGUCCUGCCAAGGCAUUUCUGCCUGAAUACACUCAGACCAAGGAUAGCAUAUUAGAGAAAAAUUUAUUUUCCAAGCUGGAUGAAUCACUGCUUUUUCUCUGAAUUUCGGCUCUCCGUGACUAUGGUGGAGAAGCUGUUGACAAAGUGUUGUAUGCAGGGGCCACCUUUGACUAUCUUAUCCUUUUCUUUAUCUCCACCUUAUACUCAUCUAUAGUUCUAUGAACUCUAUCUUCCUCUCCCUAUUGUUGGAAAUUCUCUUUCCGAUUCUGAAAUCUAAACCAGAAUUCGACGUGGAAGUCUGAUAAAGAUUAUUACCUUUAUUAUUGCCAAAACUAGGUUGGAAAAUGAAGCCUGAAUUGAUGGUCAAAAUGAGGCUUCCCACUGCUUUACCCAGGUUUGAAUCUCAGGAUUCAUCUGGGGAAACCACUGUACAGCCUACACUAUGUAGCAGGCAGCACAGGGAACAGGAACUCACCUCACACCUCUGAGUAGAAACCCUGAGAACAGGGAUCUCUAAGAAGACAUGGGCCUGCUGAGUUGCCUCUGAAAGGCAGUCCCUGGACUCUGACAAAGGUUUGUUAGUGUGUGGCGGACUCCGGUGGAGAAGGGCAAUGACCCCUCCUUCAUACAGGUCUGUCCUCAAAGGCAACCAGAGGCAAAGCCUGCACAGUGGAGCCAUUUCCUUUCCCCAGUGCUGUCCAUUGGGUCAAUCAAUUCUCCUCCUGGGAGCAGAGUGAGCAGGUGGGUUGGUGGAGUGGUGGAGAGGAGGUCUGAAGCCACCUUUCAUACUUUUUUGGUGGUGUUUGUAUUUUAUGUGUUGUUGUUGGGAAAUGUGGAGAGAAGGUAAAAGAAGUGCUUUUCCAUGUUAUUCUCCUCAAUCAUCAACUUAAUCAGGACUUCGAGAUAUCUACAUUGAAUUGAUGACUGUCUGACUGCACUUAAAAUCCAUUGGAAUAAAUGUUCUCUUAAAAAUAAGAUUAUGUCACCCCCCCAGUUAAGAUUUCCCUAUUGGUUUUCCCUAGUUGUUUGGAUGUAAUCCAAAAUCCAUGCUGUCUUGCCAUGGCAUUCUAGCCUUUUUAUACCCAAAUCGAUGAUAAACUAUUCAGUCUGAUUUGUCAUCACACUCGCUGUCAACUUUUGCUCCAGGCUUAUCGAACUCUUUGCAGUUUUCCAAGCAUGCAUGUCUUUGCCUAACCCGUUGCCUUCAUUUUUGCUGCUCCCUUCCCCAGAAAUACAUUCCUUUGCUUUCUUUAUCUGGAUAGAUCUCAUUGAGCCUUCAGAACUCAGCCUAGGUAUAAUUAGCUCCUAUUGGACACCUUCACUGAAUUAUUGAGGCGUGCCACCUCAAGUGAGGUUAGGUUUCUUCCAAUGUUCCUUAUAGUAUUUCCUGCUUGUAUACUGUGAUAGGGUCUUCUUAUCUGCAUAUUCAUAUUGAAUGUAGUCCCUAGCAUAUAAUAAACCAUUGAUAACUAUUGCCAGCAUCUCUCACAUUGCUUCCUUCCUU
Molecule: long non-coding RNA, 2336 nt
Organism: Pongo pygmaeus (Bornean orangutan)
Lineage: Eukaryota; Metazoa; Chordata; Mammalia; Primates; Hominidae
Exons: 4
Source: RefSeq, a predicted model, not a curated record